AGUGAACGCUGGCGGUAGGCCUAACACAUGCAAGUCGAACGGCAGCACAGUAAGAGCUUGCUCUUACGGGUGGCGAGUGGCGGACGGGUGAGGAAUACAUCGGAAUCUACUUUUUCGUGGGGGAUAACGUAGGGAAACUUACGCUAAUACCGCAUACGACCUACGGGUGAAAGCAGGGGAUCUUCGGACCUUGCGCGAUUGAAUGAGCCGAUGUCGGAUUAGCUAGUUGGCGGGGUAAAGGCCCACCAAGGCGACGAUCCGUAGCUGGUCUGAGAGGAUGAUCAGCCGCACUGGAACUGAGACACGGUCCAGACUCCUACGGGAGGCAGCAGUGGGGAAUAUUGGACAAUGGGCGCAAGCCUGAUCCAGCCAUGCCGCGUGGGUGAAGAAGGCCUUCGGGUUGUAAAGCCCUUUUGUUGGGAAAGAAAAGCAGCAGAUUAAUACCCCGCUGUUCUGACGGUACCCAAAGAAUAAGCACCGGCUAACUUCGUG
Molecule: ribosomal RNA, 492 nt
Filed under: uncultured bacterium
Lineage: Bacteria
Description: partial 16S ribosomal RNA
Rfam family: Bacterial small subunit ribosomal RNA
Source: RNAcentral